This 461-nucleotide ribosomal RNA is filed under the name uncultured bacterium. RNAcentral's name for it is "bacterial SSU rRNA". It matches the Rfam family "Bacterial small subunit ribosomal RNA", at positions 340 to 789 of the family's 1533-position model. The record is from RNAcentral.
UACGGAAGGCAGCAGGGGGAAUAUUGCACAAUGGGCGAAAGCCUGAUGCAGCUAUGCCGCGUGUAUGAAGAAGGCCUUAGGGUUGUAAAGUACUUUCAUCGGGGAGGAAAAAACAAAACUAAUAAUUUUAUUUCUUGACGUUACCCGAAAAAGAAGCACCGGCUAACUCCGUGCCAGCAGCCGCGGUAAUACGGAGGGUGCUAGCGUUAAUCAGAAUUACUGGGCGUAAAGAGCACGUAGGUGGUUUUUUUAAAGUUCAGAUGUGAAAUCCCUGGGCUUAACCUAGGAACUGCAUUUUGAAACUGAAAUACUAGAGUAUCGUAGAGGGAGGUAGAAUUCUAGGUGUAGCGGUGAAAUGCGUAGAUAUCUGGAGGAAUACCUGUGGCGAAAGCGGCCUCCUAAACGAAUACUGACACUGAGGGUGCGAAAGCGUGGGGAGCAAACAGGGAUUAGAUACCCGU